AAAGCAACUGUGAUCCAGAGAGAGUGACUGGUUUACUUUGGAGACAACGGCUGACCUUGAAAUGAUCACACACAGGUUGACAUGGAUACGAGCCAGUGAAAAUAAUGUAAGCUGAUCCUCCGUGUGAGAGAGGCCAGAUCACAUUUACGGUAAGAGAGCGAGACAGAGAGACUGUAUAAUAUGUGUGU
This 188-nucleotide long non-coding RNA is filed under the name Sinocyclocheilus grahami. Its description in RNAcentral is "lncRNA (ENSSGRG00000038188.1)". The record is from RNAcentral. Lineage: Eukaryota; Metazoa; Chordata; Actinopteri; Cypriniformes; Cyprinidae.